This 468-nucleotide ribosomal RNA is filed under the name uncultured bacterium. Its description in RNAcentral is "partial 16S ribosomal RNA". It matches the Rfam family "Bacterial small subunit ribosomal RNA", at positions 28 to 507 of the family's 1533-position model. The record is from RNAcentral.
GACGAACGCUGGCGGCGUGCUUAACACAUGCAAGUCGAACGGAAAGGCCCUGCUUUUGUGGGGUGCUCGAGUGGCGAACGGGUGGGUAACACGUGAGUAACCUGCCCUUGACUUUGGGAUAACUUCAGGAAACUGGGGCUAAUACCGGAUAGGAGCUCCUGCUGCAUGGUGGGGGUUGGAAAGUUUCGGCGGUUGGGGAUGGACUCGCGGCUUAUCAGCUUGUUGGCGGGGUAGUGGCUUACCAAGGCUUUGACGGGUAGCCGGCCUGAGAGGGUGACCGGCCACAUUGGGACUGAGAUACGGCCCAGACUCCUACGGGAGGCAGCAGUGGGGAAUAUUGCACAAUGGGCGGAAGCCUGAUGCAGCAACGCCGCGUGCGGGAUGACGGCCUUCGGGUUGUAAACCGCUUUCGCCUGUGACGAAGCGUGAGUGACGGUAAUGGGUAAAGAAGCACCGGCUAACUACGUG